RNAcentral lists this ribosomal RNA (430 nucleotides) under uncultured bacterium. RNAcentral's name for it is "bacterial SSU rRNA". It matches the Rfam family "Bacterial small subunit ribosomal RNA", at positions 29 to 507 of the family's 1533-position model. The record is from RNAcentral.
AACGAACGCUGGCGGCAGGCCUAAAACAUGCAAGUCGAACGAACCUUCGGGUUAGUGGCGCACGGGUGAGUAACGCGUGGGAAUGUGCCUCUGGGUGCGGAACAACGUCGGGAAACUGACGCUAAUACCGCAUAAUGUCUACGGACCAAAGAUUUAUCGCCCAGAGAUCAGCCCGCGUCUGAUUAGCUAGUUGGUGAGGUAACGGCUCACCAAGGCUACGAUCAGUAGCUGGUCUGAGAGGAUGAUCAGCCACACUGGAACUGAGACACGGUCCAGACUCCUACGGGAGGCAGCAGUUAGGAAUAUUGGACAAUGGGGGAAACCCUGAUCCAGCCAUGCCGCGUGUGUGAAGAAGGCCUUAGGGUUGUAAAGCACUUUCGGCUGUGAGAUAAUGACAGUAGCAGAAGAAGAAGCUCCGGCUAAAUUCGUG